This 468-nucleotide ribosomal RNA is filed under the name uncultured bacterium. RNAcentral's name for it is "partial 16S ribosomal RNA". It matches the Rfam family "Bacterial small subunit ribosomal RNA", at positions 28 to 507 of the family's 1533-position model. The record is from RNAcentral.
GACGAACGCUGGCGGCGUGCUUAACACAUGCAAGUCGAACGGAAAGGCCCUGCUUUUGUGGGGUGCUCGAGUGGCGAACGGGUGAGUAACACGUGAGUAACCUGCCCUUGACUUUGGGAUAACUUCAGGAAACUGGGGCUAAUACCGGAUAGGAGCUCCUGCUGCAUGGUGGGGGUUGGAAAGUUUCGGCGGUUGGGGAUGGACUCGCGGCUUAUCAGCUUGUUGGCGGGGUAGUGGCUUACCAAGGCUUUGACGGGUAGCCGGCCUGAGAGGGUGACCGGCCACAUUGGGACUGAGAUACGGCCCAGACUCCUACGGGAGGCAGCAGUGGGGAAUAUUGCGCAAUGGGCGGAAGCCUGAUGCAGCAACGCCGCGUGCGGGAUGACGGCCUUCGGGUUGUAAACCGCUUUCGCCUGUGACGAAGCGUGAGUGACGGUAAUGGGUAAAGAAGCACCGGCUAACUACGUG